AAGUCGAGCUGGACCGUACGGGCAGCUUGCUCCCUUAGGUCAGCGGCGGACGGGUGAGUAACACGUGGGUAACCUGCCUGUAAGACUGGGAUAACCUCCGUGGCAAACCGGGGCUAAUACCGGAUGCUUGAUUGAACCGCACGGUCUCAAUUCUAAAAGGGGGCUUUUAACUUCCACUUACAGAUGGACCCGCGGCCCCUUACCUAAUUGGUGAAGUAACGGCUCACCCAGGCCACCAAGCGUAACCCACCUGAAAAGGUGAACGGCCACACUGGGACUGAAACACCGCCCCAACCCCCACCGGAAGCAGCAAUAAGGAAUCUUCCCCAAUGGACCAAAGUCUGAAGGAACAACCCCCCGUGGGUGGUGAAGGUUUUCCGAUCCUAAAACUCUUUUGUUAGGGAAGAACCAAUACCGUUCCAAUAGGGCGGCACCUUGACGGUACCAAACCGUAAAGCGAGGGCUAAGUACGUCCCAGCCGCCGGGGUAAUAAGUAGGUGGCAGGCGUUGUCCGGAAUUUAUUGGCGUAAAGCGCGCGCCGGCGGUUUAUUAAGUUUGAUUUGAAAGCCCGCGGCUCAACCGGAGGGUCAUUGAAACUGGGGAACUAGAGUGCAGAAGAGGAGAGUGGAAUUGCACGUGUAGCGGUGAAAUGCGUAGAGAUGUGGAGGAACACCAGUGGCGAAGGCGACUCUCUGGUCUGUAACUGACGCUGAGGCGCGAAAGCGUGGGGAGCGAACAGGAUUAGAUACCCUGGUAGUCCACGCCGUAAACGAUGAGUGCUAAGUGUUAGAGGGUUUCCGCCCUUUAGUGCUGCAGCAAACGCAUUAAGCACUCCGCCUGGGGAGUACGGUCGCAAGACUGAAACUCAAAGGAAUUGACGGGGGCCCGCACAAGCGGUGGAGCAUGUGGUUUAAUUCGAAGCAACGCGAAGAACCUUACCAGGUCUUGACAUCCUCUGACAACCCUAGAGAUAGGGCUUCCCCUUCGGGGGCAGAGUGACAGGUGGUGCAUGGUUGUCGUCAGCUCGUGUCGUGAGAUGUUGGGUUAAGUCCCGCAACGAGCGCAACCCUUGAUCUUAGUUGCCAGCAUUCAGUUGGGCACUCUAAGGUGACUGCCGGUGACAAACCGGAGGAAGGUGGGGAUGACGUCAAAUCAUCAUGCCCCUUAUGACCUGGGCUACACACGUGCUACAAUGGGCAGAACAAAGGGCAGCGAAGCCGCGAGGCUAAGCCAAUCCCACAAAUCUGUUCUCAGUUCGGAUCGCAGUCUGCAACUCGACUGCGUGAAGCUGGAAUCGCUAGUAAUCGCGGAUCAGCAUGCCGCGGUGAAUACGUUCCCGGGCCUUGUACACACCGCCCGUCACACCACGAGAGUUUGUAACACCCGAAGUCGGUGAGGUAACCUUUGGAGCCAGCCGCCGAAGGGGACAGAAGGGGGG
Molecule: ribosomal RNA, 1438 nt
Filed under: Bacillus haynesii
Lineage: Bacteria; Bacillati; Bacillota; Bacilli; Caryophanales; Bacillaceae
Description: bacterial SSU rRNA
Rfam family: Bacterial small subunit ribosomal RNA
Source: RNAcentral